CGGCAGCGACACUGUGUGUUGUUGGGUAGGGGAGCGUUCUGUAAGCCUGUGAAGGUGUGUCGUGAGGCAUGCUGGAGGUAUCAGAAGUGCGAAUGCUGACAUAAGUAACGAUAAAGCGGGUGAAAAGCCCGCUCGCCGGAAGACCAAGGGUUCCUGUCCAACGUUAAUCGGGGCAGGGUGAGUCGACCCCUAAGGCGAGGCCGAAAGGCGUAGUCGAUGGGAAACGGGUUAAUAUUCCCGUACUUGGUGUUACUGCGAAGGGGGGACGGAGAAGGCUAUGUUGGCCGGGCGACGGUUGUCCCGGUUUAAGCGUGUAGGUGUGUGUUCCAGGUAAAUCCGGUUCACUUUAACACUGAGGCGUGACGACGAGGCACUACGGUGCUGAAGCAACAAAUGCCCUGCUUCCAGGAAAAGCCUCUAAGCAUCAGGUAACAUCAAAUCGUACCCCAAACCGACACAGGUGGUCAGGUAGAGAAUACCAAGGCGCUUGAGAGAACUCGGGUGAAGGAACUAGGCAAAAUGGUGCCGUAACUUCGGGAGAAGGCACGCUGACACGUAGGUGAAGUGAUUUACUCAUGGAGCUGAAGUCAGUCGAAGAUACCAGCUGGCUGCAACUGUUUAUUAAAAACACAGCACUGUGCAAACACGAAAGUGGACGUAUACGGUGUGACGCCUGCCCGGUGCCGGAAGGUUAAUUGAUGGGGUCAGCGCAAGCGAAGCUCCUGAUCGAAGCCCCGGUAAACGGCGGCCGUAACUAUAACGGUCCUAAGGUAGCGAAAUUCCUUGUCGGGUAAGUUCCGACCUGCACGAAUGGCGUAAUGAUGGCCAGGCUGUCUCCACCCGAGACUCAGUGAAAUUGAACUCGCUGUGAAGAUGCAGUGUACCCGCGGCAAGACGGAAAGACCCCGUGAACCUUUACUAUAGCUUGACACUGAACAUUGAGCCUUGAUGUGUAGGAUAGGUGGGAGGCUUUGAAGUGUGGACGCCAGUCUGCAUGGAGCCGACCUUGAAAUACCACCCUUUAAUGUUUGAUGUUCUAACGUGGACCCGUUACCCGGGUUGCGGACAGUGUCUGGUGGGUAGUUUGACUGGGGCGGUCUCCUCCUAAAGAGUAACGGAGGAGCACGAAGGUUGGCUAAUCCUGGUCGGACAUCAGGAGGUUAGUGCAAUGGCAUAAGCCAGCUUGACUGCGAGCGUGACGGCGCGAGCAGGUGCGAAAGCAGGUCAUAGUGAUCCGGUGGUUCUGAAUGGAAGGGCCAUCGCUCAACGGAUAAAAGGUACUCCGGGGAUAACAGGCUGAUACCGCCCAAGAGUUCAUAUCGACGGCGGUGUUUGGCACCUCGAUGUCGGCUCAUCACAUCCUGGGGCUGAAGUAGGUCCCAAGGGUAUGGCUGUUCGCCAUUUAAAGUGGUACGCGAGCUGGGUUUAGAACGUCGUGAGACAGUUCGGUCCCUAUCUGCCGUGGGCGCUGGAGAACUGAGGGGGGCUGCUCCUAGUACGAGAGGACCGGAGUGGACGCAUCACUGGUGUUCGGGUUGUCAUGCCAAUGGCACUGCCCGGUAGCUAAAUGCGGAAGAGAUAAGUGCUGAAAGCAUCUAAGCACGAAACUUGCCCCGA
This 1617-nucleotide ribosomal RNA is filed under the name Salmonella enterica. RNAcentral describes it as "partial 23S ribosomal RNA". It matches the Rfam family "Bacterial large subunit ribosomal RNA", at positions 1203 to 2802 of the family's 2925-position model. Lineage: Bacteria; Pseudomonadati; Pseudomonadota; Gammaproteobacteria; Enterobacterales; Enterobacteriaceae. The record is from RNAcentral.